UCUUAGACAAUGGGCGCAAGCCUGAUCUGGCCAUGCCGCGUGAGCGAUGAAGGCCUUAGGGUUGUAAAGCUCUUUCAGAUGGGAAGAUAAUGACGGUACCAUCAGAAGAAGCCCCGGCUAACUCCGUGCCAGCAGCCGCGGUAAUACGGAGGGGGCUAGCGUUGUUCGAAUUACUGGGCGAAAGCGCGCGUAGGCGGAUUGGAAAGUUGGGGGUAAAUCCCGGGGCUCAACCUCGGAACUGCCUUCAAAACUCCCAGUCUUAGUUCAGAGAGGUAGUGAAUUCCGAGUGAAGGUAAAUUCGAGUUUCGAGAACACCAGUGGCAAGCGCUACUGCUCGUCUGCGUGCGUGAAAUCU
Molecule: ribosomal RNA, 355 nt
Filed under: uncultured bacterium
Lineage: Bacteria
Description: bacterial SSU rRNA
Rfam family: Bacterial small subunit ribosomal RNA
Source: RNAcentral